This is a long non-coding RNA of Arabidopsis thaliana (thale cress), 424 nucleotides long. RefSeq annotates it as other RNA. The transcript has a single exon. The record is from RefSeq. Lineage: Eukaryota; Viridiplantae; Streptophyta; Magnoliopsida; Brassicales; Brassicaceae.
CUUCUUUUUUUUUUUCAUCUGUCAAAGAUUAUGGGUUUUAUUUUAAAUAUACAAAAGAAACAAAGUAAAGAGAGAAAAAAAAUGGAAACUGAGACGAGGACGUCAGCCGUCACAUGACGGGAGGAAAUGACCAAGUGGACCUGUGGACGGGAAUAGAAGAAAGAAAAGGCUCGAGAAAAGAGAACGGCGCCGUUAGCGAAGUAACGGAGAGAAGAGGAAGAUAGGUCCCACGAUGGGCCUGAGUGUACCCAUCGUCGGUCCAACGAGUGUCUUUGUAUUCUUCGACAAAUAUCCGUACGGUCUCGUUUCUUUGCUUCAAAUCAAACUAACCCUUCCUUCUUCUUCUUUGAAUAUAACACAACAUCAUCACUUAAUAUAACACAAAAUUUAGAUGUAUAAGAUUUUAGUAUACAAAUCAUCUAGA